AUCUGCCAAGGAUGUUUUCAUUAAUCAAGAACGAAAGUUAGGGGAUCGAAGACGAUCAGAUACCGUCGUAGUCUUAACCAUAAACGAUGCCGACCAGCGAUUAGGAGACGUUGAAUACAAAACACCACCAUCGGCGCGGUCGUCCUUGGCGCGUUCGUGUUCACUCACGGGCGAGGGAGGGCGGCUUAGCCCGGUGGCACCGGUGAAUGACUCCCUAGCAGCUUGUGAGAA
RNAcentral lists this ribosomal RNA (231 nucleotides) under Acanthamoeba sp. AG-2012. Its description in RNAcentral is "partial 18S ribosomal RNA". It matches the Rfam family "Eukaryotic small subunit ribosomal RNA", at positions 953 to 1096 of the family's 1831-position model. Lineage: Eukaryota; Discosea; Longamoebia; Acanthamoebidae. The record is from RNAcentral.